GACGAACGCUGGCGGCGUGCUUAACACAUGCAAGUCGAGCGGUAAGGCCCUUUCGGGGGUACACGAGCGGCGAACGGGUGAGUAACACGUGGGUGACCUGCCCUCAGCUCUGGGAUAAGCCUGGGAAACCGGGUCUAAUACUGGAUAUGACUCCAUGACGCAUGUUGUGGGGUGGAAAGCCUUGUGCGGCUGAGGAUGGGCCCGCGGCCUAUCAGCUUGUUGGUGGGGUGANGGCCUACCAAGGCGACGACGGGUAGCCGGCCUGAGAGGGCGACCGGCCACACUGGGACUGAGGACACGGCCCAGACUCCUACGGGAGGCAGCAGUGGGGAAUCUUGCGCAAUGGGCGAAAGCCUGACGCAGCGACGCCGCGUGAGGGAUGACGGCCU
This 389-nucleotide ribosomal RNA is filed under the name uncultured bacterium. RNAcentral describes it as "bacterial SSU rRNA". It matches the Rfam family "Bacterial small subunit ribosomal RNA", at positions 28 to 417 of the family's 1533-position model. The record is from RNAcentral.